This is a long non-coding RNA of Molossus molossus (Pallas's mastiff bat), 486 nucleotides long. RefSeq lists it as uncharacterized. The record is from RefSeq and is a predicted model, not a curated record. The transcript has 5 exons. NCBI's taxonomy places the organism in Eukaryota, Metazoa, Chordata, Mammalia, Chiroptera, Molossidae.
CAAGCAGCUUGGUGAAGACCCUAGAGAGAGACAGAGACUACCUCCCCCACUCCUGCAGUUCUGCUGCUGAUGGGAAACUAGGCCCAACUGCAGCUGCUUCUGGGAUCAAAGAUACUCUGUCCCCUUCGCAGCUGAUACAUUAUGAAGGCAAAAACAAAAGGACAGGAAGAGCAGUUCUGCUUGGCAGGAUAAUUCUUGCCAUCAUCCUAUUAGUUGAGAGGAGGAGCUAGAAACUCAGAGAAGUAAAGUAACUUGCCAAGACUUGGAAACAGGCUCCCCUGAUACAGCAAUUUCCCCUUCACACACAAACUGUUUCUCAAGACAAGGGAAGGAGUAUGGAAAGGGAGCCCCUUAACAUGUAAUGACAGUUUUAAUUUAGCAGAUGAUGAAGCUGGGCUCACAGAAGUGAAGUGAUUGGUUCAAGGUGACAUAAAAUCAGCAAGUGGCAGAGCUGGGAUUUGAACCCUAGUUUGCCUGACUCCAAAG